UCGUCUCCCACCUCCUCGCGAGGAGGCUCUCUCUCCCCAUUCCUUCGCUCAUGCUGUCGCGAGCCCGCGCCGCCGCCAUUGCUCUCGGCUGCCACAAGCCGCAAUUAGUGCCGCCAUGUGAUGUCUCUGCUCUGUCGUCGCAUCCUCCUCCAAAUCCCUAGCACUGCUCGCCGCUCUCUCGACGCACACGCGCGCCUGCGGCGCGUCUCUGCUGCCAGCCAUGGCUCCGGCCGUCGCCGGCCAUCGCCGACGCCUCCACCUGCGACCAAGCUCGGCCACGGUCGUCUUUGCCAGAUCCCCACCGCCGCCAAGCCACAUCUCCACCGCCACCAAGCCAGAUCCCCAAAUCCCCACCGCCGCCAAGCCAGAUCCCCAGAUCCCCACCGCCGCGGCGCCAAGCCAGAUCCCCAGAUCCCCACCACCUACGAUUCUGCUAUGGGCGCUGCUCCCACGACUCCUGUCCGUUGACCUCACCCUAUGGUGCUUCGGCUGCGCCACCCCGAUGCCCUCUCCUUCAACCUCGAGCCCCAACCCUACUGCCUCGGCUGCGUGGUGGUGACUGUGGCGUGGUGAUGCUGCUGCUGCUGCCUAGGCUGACCGUGCCCUGCCUCGGCUGUCUCCCUCCUCUGCUUCGACUAAGACAUCUGGAGCAUCAACACAAAGAGUAUUUGCAAGGCUAUUAGUAUUUUGCUUGAUCCAUUGCUUAAUCGUGCAAGAGUAUUGCUGAAGUAGUAGUAGUAGCAAUUUUCUCUGUACUUCAGCUCUAUUGCUUUUAGAAGGAAGGUUUUUUUGUCGUUUUUGAUCUGUUGCUUCAGUCUUUUGUUUCUCUUGUAUGAACUGGGUGUACUUCAAUAGUCAACAAAAACCUGAGCCCUGGAUGUACUUCUGAAGACCGAGAUCUUAAUUUGACACUCUUCAUGUCCA
Long non-coding RNA from Lolium perenne, 924 nucleotides. RefSeq lists it as uncharacterized. The record is from RefSeq and is a predicted model, not a curated record. NCBI's taxonomy places the organism in Eukaryota, Viridiplantae, Streptophyta, Magnoliopsida, Poales, Poaceae.